Molecule: microRNA precursor, 103 nt
Filed under: Marmota monax (woodchuck)
Lineage: Eukaryota; Metazoa; Chordata; Mammalia; Rodentia; Sciuridae
Source: RNAcentral
AGUGGGAUAACUGGGUCAAAUGGUGGAUCUAAUCCAUGUUUUCUGAGUAAUCUCCAUACUGCUUUCCAUAGUGGUUGCACCAAUUUGCAGUCCCACCAACAAU